RNAcentral lists this ribosomal RNA (514 nucleotides) under uncultured bacterium. RNAcentral describes it as "partial 16S ribosomal RNA". It matches the Rfam family "Bacterial small subunit ribosomal RNA", at positions 28 to 523 of the family's 1533-position model. The record is from RNAcentral.
GACGAACGCUGGCGGCAUGCCUAACACAUGCAAGUCGAACGGAGAUUAUUUCGGUAAUCUUAGUGGCGAACGGGUGAGUAACGCGUGGGCAACCUGCCCUCUAGAUGGGGACAACAUCCCGAAAGGGGUGCUAAUACCGAAUGUGACAGCAAUCUCGCAUGAGGAUGCUGUGAAAGAUGGCCUCUACUUAUAAGCUAUCGCUAGAGGAUGGGCCUGCGUCUAAUUAGCUAGUUGGUGGGGUAACGGCCUACCAAGGCGAUGAUCAGUAGCCGGUCUGAGAGGAUGACCGGCCACAUUGGGACUGAGACACGGCCCAGACUCCUACGGGAGGCAGCAGUGGGGAAUCUUCCGCAAUGGGCGAAAGCCUGACGGAGCAAUGCCGCGUGAGUGAUGAAGGAAUUCGUUCCGUAAAGCUCUUUUGUUUAUGACGAAUGUGCAGGUUGUGAAUAAUGACUUGUAAUGACGGUAGUAAACGAAUAAGCCACGGCUAACUACAUGCCAGCCGCCGCCGUAA